RNAcentral lists this ribosomal RNA (1785 nucleotides) under Triticum aestivum (bread wheat). Its description in RNAcentral is "partial small subunit ribosomal RNA". The record is from RNAcentral. Lineage: Eukaryota; Viridiplantae; Streptophyta; Magnoliopsida; Poales; Poaceae.
AUGGCUUCCAGCAGCAAGGGAGCGGCGGCGUCCUCGCUCUGCAUCAAGCUCGUGGCCUGCCUCUGCUUCCUCGGAUUAUCCCAAGGCAGGGGCACGGCCAAGCCGCCAUUCACGCUGAGGAACCUCCCUCCCCUCGAGAAGGCGAGCAGCUUCCCCGCGAUGCGCCACGACAGCUACGACUACAUUGUCGUCGGCGGGGGCACCGCCGGCUGCCCCCUGGCGGCGACAUUGUCGCUCAAGUACAAGGUGCUCGUGCUGGAGAGGGGCGGGUCCCCUUACGGCAACCGCAACGUCUCCUACAUGGAGAACUUCCACAUUGGCCUGAGCAACACGGCGCCGGACUCUUCGUCGCAGGCCUUCGUCUCCACCGACGGCGUCAUCAAUGCCCGGGCAAGGGUGCUCGGCGGCGGCACCUGCAUCAAUGCUGGCUUCUACAGCCGAGCCAGCUCAAGCUUCGUGCAGGAUGUUGGCUGGGAAGAAGACCUGGUGAAUGAGUCCUACCCUUGGGUAGAGGAUAAGGUUGUCCAGUGGCCUAAGAUCGCGCCUUGGCAGGCUGCACUGCGGGAUGGGCUUGUUGAAGCAGGUGUAUCCCCUUUCAAUGGGUACACCUAUGACCAUGUUUCUGGGACCAAGGUUGGCGGCACCAUCUUCGACGCAAAUGGCCACCGCCACACAGCAGCCGACUUGCUCGCAGCUGGAGACCGUAACAACCUGAGGGUCCUGCUUCAUGCUAGUGUGCACAAGAUAGUGUUCGACUCGCAACAAGGACGACUGAGACCAAGGGCUAUCGGGGUACAAUUUGCUGAUGAGGACGGGAGACUCCACCAGGCACUCCUCAACAACAACAGAGAUAGCGAAAUUAUCAUCUCUUCUGGUGCAAUUGGCAGCCCCCAGCUGCUACUCCUCAGUGGGAUUGGGCCAAAGAAUGAUCUUAAGAAUCAUAACAUUCCUGUUGUUCUCCACAACAAGUAUGUGGGGAAAGGGAUGGCCGACAACCCCAUGAACUCCAUCUUCAUACCUACGAAAAGCCCCCCGCGGCAGUCACUGAUUGAGACUGUCGGGAUAACUGAAGCCGGUGUGUUCAUCGAGGCCAGCAGUGGUUUUGGCCAGUCAGAAGAUAGCAUCCACUGCCACCACGGAAUCAUGUCUGCUGAGAUUGGACAGCUGUCCACAGUUCCUCCGAAGCAAAGAAGCCUGGAACUAGCCAGGGAGUAUGCACAUAACAAACUUAGUCUACCCAAAGAGGUGUUCCAGGGUGGCUUUAUCCUUGAGAAGAUCGAUGGUCCACUGUCUACAGGCCAUCUUGUCCUUGCAGACACUGAUGUCAAGAACAACCCGGCAGUUACUUUCAACUAUUUCAGCCAUCCACAAGAUCUCAGCCGUUGUGUCUAUGGCAUCAAGACCAUUGAGAAAAUAUUGAAGACAAACAGUUUCGCUCAUCUGACUCCUGAUGAUGAUGCUGGAUAUGAAAUAGAAAGGGUGCUCAACAUGAGCGUGCGGGCUAACGUGAAUCUGAUACCCAAGCAUACCAAUACCACAGAAUCCCUGGAGCAAUUUUGCAAGGACACGGUAAUCACCAUCUGGCACUACCAUGGUGGGUGCCAUGUAGGGAAGGUGGUCGACCAGCAGCACCGAGUGCUUGGAGUCUCAGGGCUCCGGGUUGUUGAUGGCUCAACGUUCUCUAGGUCACCAGGGACCAACCCUCAAGCCACGGUCAUGAUGAUGGGCAGGUACUUUGGAGUGAAGAUCUUAAGGCAGCGGCUAGGACGAGCAGCUGGGGUGUAG